CGGUUAAGUUAGAAAGGGCGCACGGUGGAUGCCUUGGCACUAGGAGCCGAUGAAGG
RNAcentral lists this ribosomal RNA (56 nucleotides) under Bacillus velezensis. RNAcentral describes it as "partial 23S ribosomal RNA". Lineage: Bacteria; Bacillati; Bacillota; Bacilli; Caryophanales; Bacillaceae. The record is from RNAcentral.